UCCCAUUUUCACUUAAUAAAACCAAACCGUCUUUGGCCGGGGAAAAAGAAAAUCCCAAAAAGUUUGUGCUUUCCCGCCUUUCUUCCUUUCAACGUUGGUGCAAAAAUUUGGCAAUCAAGGGACUCGGAUAUAUUAGUCCGAAAGAAAAAAGGACUCAUAUUGUCCGUUUACCUUUGCUAAUCGUCGAUCCACAGACGCCAGAGCUUUCGGAGUUCUGUCCAGAUUUCUUCGUGCUUUAUUGCUGUUCAUUCGAGUCAAACAUGGUAUUAAUUUCGAAAAUGGAAGUCUUCGUAGAUUCUUUUAUUAUGCAAUUUAUUGUCGAUGUCGCUCUUAGAACUUCAUACCGAGUUUUUCUGUUUAUGAUGUAAUUCUAGAUCACAUGUCUAUUUUAGUCGGGAUCGUUUGAAUUUCGAUAGAUAUCAGACUCGAUUCAUCUGUCCGUCGUUUUUUGAAUUUUUGAAUGUCUAUCUUCGAGCAUAACACGUUAGGUUCUUGGUUCGUGGAUUUCAAAUCUUGAGAUAUCUGGAAUACUCGUUAGAUUUUCCUGUUCAUGAGUAUUUUUCGGUUUAGUUUCUCCAAAUAUCCGUGCAUAUAUUUAAAAAAACAAAGGAAGUCAAGAAACUCCCAGAAUUUGUGGUUUGUGGUUGAAUUGAAAUCUCUGCAUAAUUUGGUUGUCCAUCGGAAAGAUGACCAAGUUUGUUCAAUUCAGACUAAAUGAAGGCACUGUCCCCUCGUACUAUGAGUAAAUGAUGACUUUGUUGAUCUCUGUAACCAAUGUUGUCCUUGUAUAUUCCGUUGGCCGAAAUAGAAUUUGUGCUUUAGAAGUUUGAUGCGAUAACCAGUAAAGUAAAGGAGGAGGAGGACGAUUUCCGUGAAAGGGCGAGGAUAUUACACCCACGAUCUCACAGGAAGUCUUUUGAGCCUGACAAAACAAAACUAGAAGUCAAAAUAAAUGAAACAGAAAACAGAACUGAAAUUCUGAGGAUGAAUCUGGGUCAAACUUUAGCCUAAGACUCAUUAUUUCAUCAGAACAAAUAAAAAUGGGAGUGUCUCAUGUUGCUUAAACGAACAUCAGGGGUGUUCUCAGAAGAAAAAAAAUAUUCAGAGAAAGAAAUUUGACCAGUGAUGUUAGCCUCGGACCAGAAGGCAAGUGAUGUUAGCAGUCCUGCAUCGACCGAGUGCAAGAAGAUUUUCUAUGGGAGCUAUGCGUAAUGCCAGGACUUCGAAAUUCGAAUAUCUAGGGGUCUGGCUGUAACAAAAUAAGGUUGCAAAGGCAAUCUUCUGUAUCCCAGUAAGUUUUGGGUCUCCAAUUUAUGGCUUUGCGUCUUUCAAUUUUGAAGCAGAUUUAUUUUGUUCCUGCCUUUUGCCGUUUCUUAUCAGACUUCAGGAAUUAAGAGCUUAAGGAUUCCCAUCCAGAAAAGCUGCAUAUUUUGUAACAGAGAAAGAGGCCCAGGACGGUCGGUCUGAUUCAUAUUCUAAAGAGAGGAACUUCAAGAGAUCUCAAGAAGGUUCGGCAUCCGUCGAAGAAGGAUAUAUGCAUUCACUUCUUCACUCGUACCCAAUUUGGCAAUUGAGGCAUCGAAGAGAAAUUGUUGCAUAUUGGCUUAAGCUCUUGACAGCCAUGAGAAGUGAUAAGAAUGUGGUUAUCCUCGUGAUUUAUAGGAAAAUCACCAAGUAGUAUCUGCUUCUAAUAUUCAUAGCUAAUUUUCAAAUCGUUCUUAUGGGGAACAGUCAGGUCUUCAUGCUUUGCGUUCUAGGAAAUAAGUCACUUGGCAGAGGAUUAUAUAUCGUAUAUUGGUGACUUCCAUAUAUGUUAUGGAUGCAGCGUGUGUUUAGUCCAUCAUAACCUCCGAAGCGACAAUCUUUGACGAAAAACUCCACCUUUGAUGGCAGCGGACUGAUGAGUUGGCAGUUGAGAUGGAUGGGACGGACACCACUGAUCCUGGUAGGCCAGGAAAUACUGAAAAAUCGUCAUAUAUGAUUGUUGCGUCGAGUGUAGCAGGAAUAUGGAGCAGCAUGCUCUUCAGAAAGUAUUAUGCUUUUGUAACAUGUAGGUUCAAGAGAGACAUUGCCGAGAAGCAAACUUAAUGCUUAGUCAAAUGAAGAAGCAGUGUAAGAACAGAUUAGGGAAAAGUUAAGAACAAAUUAAGUCAGUGAGAAGCCAGAAAUUCUUAGAUUCUGAUAAAUGUUGCUGAAGAGAGGCACCACCUGCUGCAGAAUGUCUGCUCCCAGAUUCACGCAGAUACGUAUAUUCAAAAGAUUGAUGGAUUUUUAAGCUUAAAUUGCGACAUAACUCAUGUUUUAAUCCUUCUUGAAUUUUGUUUCAGAGAGAAGCCAGCAAUUCUCAAUAAAUCAAAAGAGAGAGAGGCUAGAAACUUAAAAAAAGAAAGAGGCAAGAAACAAACUUUUGAAGAAACAUCACGCGCUCAGCUUCAAUGAUCUAUCGCAAGAGCAAGAAUCAGUGGACAUCUAACUGAAUGAUACUCUGAGGAAAAUGACAGCUGUCCAGAAG
Molecule: long non-coding RNA, 2512 nt
Organism: Prosopis cineraria
Lineage: Eukaryota; Viridiplantae; Streptophyta; Magnoliopsida; Fabales; Fabaceae
Exons: 4
Source: RefSeq, a predicted model, not a curated record